Molecule: signal recognition particle RNA, 265 nt
Filed under: Chloroflexota bacterium
Lineage: Bacteria; Bacillati; Chloroflexota
Description: signal recognition particle sRNA large type
Rfam family: Bacterial large signal recognition particle RNA
About the family: The signal recognition particle (SRP) is a universally conserved ribonucleoprotein involved in the co-translational targeting of proteins to membranes. Archaeal SRP consists of a 7S RNA and homologues of the eukaryotic SRP19 and SRP54 proteins.
Source: RNAcentral
UCGUGCUAGAUGGGGAGCUAGCGGUGCCCUGUACCCGCAACCCGCUACAGCGGGGUCGAAUCACCUCUCCCGGCCAGACUUCUUGGGACUACCAUCGCUAAGCGGCGUCGAAGAUCGGGUCCGGCGCGGCAGGAAUGUGCCCAACCCCGCCAGGUUCGGAAGAAAGCAACGGUCAGCACUCCUUUCCUGGGUGUUGUCGGGUUGCCUGGUUGGAGCUGGCUGACGAUGGCAAGCUGGGCGGUUCUGGUCAAAAGAGGGUGCACGA